RNAcentral lists this ribosomal RNA (729 nucleotides) under Salmonella enterica subsp. enterica serovar Muenchen. RNAcentral's name for it is "partial 23S ribosomal RNA". It matches the Rfam family "Bacterial large subunit ribosomal RNA", at positions 462 to 1190 of the family's 2925-position model. Lineage: Bacteria; Pseudomonadati; Pseudomonadota; Gammaproteobacteria; Enterobacterales; Enterobacteriaceae. RNAcentral also lists the same sequence under 1 other name. The record is from RNAcentral.
AAGGCUAAAUACUCCUGACUGACCGAUAGUGAACCAGUACCGUGAGGGAAAGGCGAAAAGAACCCCGGCGAGGGGAGUGAAAAAGAACCUGAAACCGUGUACGUACAAGCAGUGGGAGCACAGGUUUACCUGUGUGACUGCGUACCUUUUGUAUAAUGGGUCAGCGACUUAUAUUCUGUAGCAAGGUUAACCGUAUAGGGGAGCCGUAGGGAAACCGAGUCUUAACCGGGCGUUAAGUUGCAGGGUAUAGACCCGAAACCCGGUGAUCUAGCCAUGGGCAGGUUGAAGGUUGGGUAACACUAACUGGAGGACCGAACCGACUAAUGUUGAAAAAUUAGCGGAUGACCUGUGGCUGGGGGUGAAAGGCCAAUCAAACCGGGAGAUAGCUGGUUCUCCCCGAAAGCUAUUUAGGUAGCGCCUCGUGAAUUCAUCUCCGGGGGUAGAGCACUGUUUCGGCUAGGGGGCCAUCCCGGCUUACCAACCCGAUGCAAACUGCGAAUACCGGAGAAUGUUAUCACGGGAGACACACGGCGGGUGCUAACGUCCGUCGUGAAGAGGGAAACAACCCAGACCGCCAGCUAAGGUCCCAAAGUCAUGGUUAAGUGGGAAACGAUGUGGGAAGGCCCAGACAGCCAGGAUGUUGGCUUAGAAGCAGCCAUCAUUUAAAGAAAGCGUAAUAGCUCACUGGUCGAGUCGGCCUGCGCGGAAGAUGUAACGGGGCUAAACCAU